RNAcentral lists this ribosomal RNA (406 nucleotides) under uncultured bacterium. RNAcentral describes it as "partial 16S ribosomal RNA". It matches the Rfam family "Bacterial small subunit ribosomal RNA", at positions 29 to 526 of the family's 1533-position model. The record is from RNAcentral.
AUUGAACGCUGGCGGCAGGCCUAACACAUGCAAGUCGAGCGAGAGGCGGACGGGUGAGUAAUGUAUGGGGAUAUGCCCGAUAGAGGGGGAUAACUACUGGAAACGGUGGCUAAUACCGCAUACUAUCGGAUGAACCCAGAGGGGUUGAGCUAGUAGGUGGGGGAAAGGCUCCAAUAGGCGAAGAUCUCUAGCUGGUCUGAGAGGAUGAACAGCGACACUGGUACUGAGACACGGCCCAGAAUCCUACGGGAGGCAGCAGUGGGGAAUAUGGCACAAUGGGCGAAAGCCUGAUGCAGCCAUGCCGCGUGUAUGAAGAAGGCCUUAGGGUUGUAAAGUACUUUCAGCGGGGAGGCGUUACCCGCAGAAGAAGCACCGGCUAACUCCGUGCCAGCAGCCGCGGUAAUAC